RNAcentral lists this long non-coding RNA (364 nucleotides) under Callithrix jacchus (white-tufted-ear marmoset). RNAcentral describes it as "lncRNA (ENSCJAG00000076874.1)". The record is from RNAcentral. Lineage: Eukaryota; Metazoa; Chordata; Mammalia; Primates; Cebidae.
AGAACUGGAAUCUUUUGACUCUCAGGCGACUGCUCUUGCUAUGAUUGUAAUGAUGAGGAACUCAGACAGGCAUUCUUAUUUCUCAUUUCAACAACUAGUAUACACCACCAUAUGGAAUCCAGGACAUGAUGUCAGCCCAAAUCUCUGACCUUCAGAAAGUCAAAGUUGUUCGAAGAAAAGACUUCCCAAGAUCAAACCUCUCUGGAUUCAAAUGCGCACAGUUUACUUCCUGUUUUCCAGCUUUCUCCCUGACUGCUUCACUUAUGGAUUCCUCUCUUCACCCAUUACAGGUGGGUAUUUCUAGGAUAUUGUACUCAUCAUCUUUGUCUCCAUGUUCUCACUAGAAGAAAUUUUAUGUAUGCUC